UACGGAGGGUGCAAGCGUUAUCCGGAUUCACUGGGUUUAAAGGGUGCGUAGGUGGACUGGUAAGUCAGUGGUGAAAUCUCCAAGCUUAACUUGGAAACUGCCGUUGAUACUAUCAUUCUUGAAUAUCGUGGAGGUAAGCGGAAUAUGUCAUGUAGCGGUGAAAUGCUUAGAUAUGACAUAGAACACCGAUUGCGAAGGCAGCUUGCUACACGAUCAUUGACACUGAGGCACGAAAGCGUGGGGAGCAAACAGG
Molecule: ribosomal RNA, 253 nt
Filed under: uncultured bacterium
Lineage: Bacteria
Description: partial 16S ribosomal RNA
Rfam family: Bacterial small subunit ribosomal RNA
Source: RNAcentral